This 63-nucleotide transfer RNA is filed under the name Flavobacterium sp. LC2016-12. RNAcentral describes it as "tRNA-Glu". Lineage: Bacteria; Pseudomonadati; Bacteroidota; Flavobacteriia; Flavobacteriales; Flavobacteriaceae. The record is from RNAcentral.
AUCUCAGCUGGUUUCAGAGCAUUCCGAUUUUCAAUCGGAAGUGGUCGGGGGUUCGAACCUUCC